This 76-nucleotide transfer RNA is filed under the name Escherichia coli. RNAcentral describes it as "tRNA-Arg(acg)". It matches the Rfam family "tRNA". From Rfam's summary of the family: Transfer RNA (tRNA) molecules are approximately 80 nucleotides in length. Their secondary structure includes four short double-helical elements and three loops (D, anti-codon, and T loops). Further hydrogen bonds mediate the characteristic L-shaped molecular structure. tRNAs have two regions of fundamental functional importance: the anti-codon, which is responsible for specific mRNA codon recognition, and the 3' end, to which the tRNAs corresponding amino acid is attached (by aminoacyl-tRNA synthetases). tRNAs cope with the degeneracy of the genetic code in two manners: having more than one tRNA (with a specific anti-codon) for a particular amino acid; and 'wobble' base-pairing, i.e. permitting non-standard base-pairing at the 3rd anti-codon position. RNAcentral also lists the same sequence under 2 other names. The record is from RNAcentral. Lineage: Bacteria; Pseudomonadati; Pseudomonadota; Gammaproteobacteria; Enterobacterales; Enterobacteriaceae.
GCAUCCGUAGCUCAGCUGGAUAGAGUACUCGGCUACGAACCGAGCGGUCGAGGUUCGAAUCCUCCCGGAUGCACCA